CCGGUGGCGGAUGGGCAUGCGGCGCAUUAGCUAGUCGGCGGGGUAACGGCCCACCGAGGCGACGAUGCGUAGGGGUUCUGAGAGGAAGGUCCCCCACACUGGUACUGAGACACGGACCAGACUCCUACGGGAGGCAGCAGUGAGGAAUAUUGGUCAAUGGGCGCGAGCCUGAACCAGCCAAGUCGCGUGAGGGAUGACGGUCCUACGGAUUGUAAACCUCUUUUGCCGGGGAGCAAGCGUGCGUUCGUGAACGCGCGUCGAGAGUACCCGGAGAAAAAGCAUCGGCUAACUCCGUGCCAGCAGCCGCGGUAAUACGGAGGAUGCGAGCGUUAUCCGGAUUUAUUGGGUUUAAAGGGUGCGUAGGCGGGAUGCCAAGUCAGCGGUAAAAAUGCGGUGCUCAACGCCGUCGAGCCGUUGAAACUGGCGUUCUUGAGUGGGCGAGAAGUAUGCGGCAUGCGUGGUGUAGCGGUGAAAUGCAUAGAUAUCACGCAGAACUCCGAUUGCGAAGGCAGCAUACCGGCGCCCUACUGACGCUGAGGCACGAAAGCGUGGGUAUCGAACAGGAUUAGAUACCCUGGUAGUCCACGCAGUAAACGAUGAAUGCUAACUGUCCGGCUCGAAUGAGCGCUGG
This 631-nucleotide ribosomal RNA is filed under the name uncultured bacterium. Its description in RNAcentral is "bacterial SSU rRNA". It matches the Rfam family "Bacterial small subunit ribosomal RNA", at positions 215 to 842 of the family's 1533-position model. The record is from RNAcentral.